Molecule: RNA transcript, 1925 nt
Organism: Hyla sarda
Lineage: Eukaryota; Metazoa; Chordata; Amphibia; Anura; Hylidae
Gene: PLVAP
Gene name: plasmalemma vesicle associated protein
Exons: 6
Source: RefSeq, a predicted model, not a curated record
GCCUGACUGUUAUGACAAAUUUGAGGAAGUUGAAAGCAUCCUGGGCAGCAGGAAGGAGCCAGACAUUGGAACUAAAAAAAUAAAAAAUAAUAUAAACAGUAAGUCCGAACACUUUAUGUGACUGACCCCGCCCUGUCCUACAACCUUUCUCUAGAUAGAAUGUACUGCCACAUGUAACAAGUCUCCAGUGAGGAAGGAUUGCAGUUUACAGAUUGCUAUCAGGGGCCAGAGACGUUAGCUGAGAACCAGCCAUGGACCCAAACUAUGCAAUGGCAAAGUUUGGAUUGGAGUCCAAGAAUAUUCUCAAAACUAAGCACAGAGGCUGUUGGUAUUAUACCAAAUAUUUCUUCUUUUUCUUAUCUAUAAUCCAGUUCCUCAUUAUCCUCGGUCUGGUUCUGUUCAUGUUAUAUGGAAAUGCCCAUGUAAACACAGAACUUCGGCUGAUGAGUGUCGAGAAUCGCUACAAGAACCUGACACUCGAUUACACCUGGCUCAAUGGCAAUUAUUCUCUGUUGAAAAGUAAGCUUUCCAGCGUAGAAAAGGAGAAUCAAAACUGCACAAAAAUAUUAGAUUCAGCCAUAAAACAACUGGGAAACAGAACAGCGAAACCACCUAUAAUGCUGCCCCCACCUCUUGAAAUAUGUAAACCGUACCAAUUUGCUCUAGAUCGUCUUAACACGACCUAUAUAAUUGACAUACUUCAGUUAAAGCAUGCACUAUUACUUCAUCAGAGCAAUCAUGACAGGUAUAAAGAGAGCUGUGACCAGAACAUUUUGGCUCUUACUACCAAAGGCAACCAAACAGUUUCUGAAAUAGCAAAGCUUCGGAGGGAGAAAGAAGACUUGGAAGCUCAUAUUAACAAUUUACAGACUGUUUGUAAUGAUAUCAACAAGAGGUUUGACGCAGAGUUGGACGUGAUGAAAAGAAACUUUGACAGCCUUGUGGGCAGCGGUGACCAUCACCGUUAUUCAAAUUGCUGGCCCAUAAGUAAUGAAAUUAAAAGAAACAUAGACCAAGCAAUAAAUAGGUUGAAACAAGAUGUGAACAAUGUCAUGUAUGAGAACAGCCAGAUGAAGACAGAAAAUGGUCGAGUGAAUAAUGAUUUUCAGAAAUGCAACCAAGAAAAGAAGGAUAUUAUUUCAGAGAAGACUAAUCUGUCCAUAGAGAAGCUAGGACUGGAAAAACAGUUGUCUGAAAAAAAGGAAGAAAUUGCCAAGUCUUUCUCAAAGUAUAUGAAAAAGGAAGAAGAACUGGAGAAUUGUCGAAAGAUGCAGACUGGGGGACGCAUGUCUGGUGGGGCAUUUCCACGGAUUUAAAAACAGAUUUUGGCAUGAGGUUACUUGAAAAAAAUGAAGAUGCUUGCAACCCAAGCUAGAAGUUUUUGAAAUCGCAGAAUACGCGCGCUAAUCCAGCUUCAUACACCAUGCUGCUAUGAAAAGUGAUACAGACCCAUUCCACCAAUACUUCAUCAAUUUUGUUGAACAACUAAGCAGAAUUGCCAGUGAGGAAUCAUGGAAAUCCCAUGGAAACAUUCCCUACUAUAUAGGAAAUAGCAGCCAGUAAUUGACGUGAGAAGUUUUGAAAAAUGCAGAAACAGAUUAACUGAUGGCAGUUUUAACAUAUGAUAUUUUACUGGAAAAGUAUUAGCCUACUGUGAAGAAAGCUGCUUGACGGAGCAUAUUAAAACAUCUAUUUAAGAUUACUGCUUUCUGUGACAUUGCUUUCCCUCUCAGCUGCCAAGAAUGUUCCUAGAUAUUUCUUAGAAACUUUGUGCUGUGAUUAAUACACUCCUUUUUACAGGAAACCCCUGAUGUUGGCCUUCGUGUGCUACUGCUGUUUUCUUAACAGGCGACACCAACACACGUCCAUUGUUCUUUUGUAAAUAUUUCUUUGCUUUUGCGGAUAUGGAGAAUAAAUGUUCAAGU